This 359-nucleotide ribosomal RNA is filed under the name uncultured gamma proteobacterium SUR-FREE-14. RNAcentral describes it as "bacterial SSU rRNA". It matches the Rfam family "Bacterial small subunit ribosomal RNA", at positions 8 to 369 of the family's 1533-position model. Lineage: Bacteria; Pseudomonadati; Pseudomonadota; Gammaproteobacteria. The record is from RNAcentral.
AGAGUUUGAUCAUGGCUCAGAUUGAACGCUGGCGGUUGGCUUAACACAUGCAAGUCGUGCGAGAAAGUAUCUUCGGAUAUGAGUAGAGCGGCGGACGGGUGAGUAACGCGUAUGAAUCUACCUAGUGGAAAGGGAUAGCCCGGGGAAACCCGGAUUAAUACCGUAUACCUCCUUCGGGAGAAAGAAGGCCUCUCUUUGAAGCUUUCGCUAUUAGAUGAGCCUGCGUAAGAUUAGCUUGUUGGUGAGGUAAAGGCUCACCAAGGCUACCAUCUUUGAUUGGUCUGAGAGGACGAUCAGCCACAUUGGGACUGAGACACGGCCCAGACUCCUACGGGAGGCAGCAGUGGGGAAUAUUGGAC